Molecule: ribosomal RNA, 1018 nt
Filed under: Nectria cinnabarina
Lineage: Eukaryota; Fungi; Ascomycota; Sordariomycetes; Hypocreales; Nectriaceae
Description: LSU rRNA
Rfam family: Eukaryotic large subunit ribosomal RNA
Source: RNAcentral
AACAACAGGGAUUGCCCAAGUAACGGCGAUGUGAAUCGGCAACAGCUCAAAUUUGAAAUCUAGGCCCUUGUGGUCCGAGUUGUAAUUUGUARAGGAUGCUUUUGGUGAGGUACUUCCGAUUCCCUGGAACGGGACGCCAUAGAGGGUGAGAGCCCCGUCUGGUUGGAUACCGAUCCUCUGUAAAGCUCCUUCGACGAGUCGAGUAUUUGGGAAUGCUGCUCUAAAUGGGAGGUAUAUGUCUUCUAAAGCUAAAUAUUGGCCAGAGACCGAUAGCGCACAAGUAGAGUUGAUCGAAAGAUGAAAAGCACUUUGAAAAGAGGGUAAAUAGUACGUGAAAUUGGUUGAAAGGGAAGCGCUUGUGACCAGACUUGGGCUUGGUUAAUCAUCCAGGGUUCUCCCUGGUGCACUUGGCCAGCCCAGGCCAGCAUCAGUUUGUCGCGGGGGAUAAAGGCGUUGGGAAUGUGGCUCCCCCGGGAGUGUUAUAGCCCUUCGUGUAAUACCCUGCUUUAGACUGAGGUUCGCGCAUCUGCAAGGAUGCUGGCGUAAUGGUCAUCAGCGACCCGUCUUGAAACACGGACCAAGGAGUCGUCUUCGUAUGCGAGUGUUCGGGUGUCAAACCCCUACGCGUAAUGAAAGUGAACGCAGGUGAGAGCUUCGGCGCAUCAUCGACCGAUCCUGAUGUUCUCGGAUGGAUUUGAGUAAGAGCAUACGGGGCCGGACCCGAAAGAAGGUGAACUAUGCCUGUGUAGGGUGAAGCCAGAGGAAACUCUGGUGGAGGCUCGCAGCGGUUCUGACGUGCAAAUCGAUCGUCAAACAUGGGCAUGGGGGCGAAAGACUAAUCGAACCUUCUAGUAGCUGGUUUCCGCCGAAGUUUCCCUCAGGAUAGCAGUGUUGAACUCAGUUUUAUGAGGUAAAGCGAAUGAUUAGGGACUCGGGGGCGCUAUUUAGCCUUCAUCCAUUCUCAAACUUUAAAUAUGUAAGAAGCCCUUGUUACUUAGUUGAACGUGGGCAUUCGAAU